This 547-nucleotide long non-coding RNA is filed under the name Anas zonorhyncha (Eastern spot-billed duck). RNAcentral describes it as "lncRNA (ENSAZOG00000004300.1)". Lineage: Eukaryota; Metazoa; Chordata; Aves; Anseriformes; Anatidae. The record is from RNAcentral.
UAAUACUGCAAAAAGAUGUUACAGAAUCGUACCAAAAUACUGAGCCAAAUCCAGCUGUCAAGGGAAAAAAAAAUCUGGCUGAGUUUUAAAAAUAGCAAUAAAUUAGGCAGAAAUAAAAAAAAGAAAAAAAAAAAAAAAAAAAAAANNNNNNNNNNAACCUCAUGACCAAGCCAUAUCCUCAGCCAAAUCCUGGGUGCUGUUGUAGCAUGCUGGCAAGAUGAGCAGUGCUAGAGCCAAGUGCAGAAGGAGCUUUGGCUAGUCUGAAGUUGACACUGUUGUUUCUGUUCCCAGAGCUAAUUAAAGGCUUCCCAGAAACAUUGGCUAAACUUAAUUUUGUGCUGGUCACAGAUCAGGUCUGGGGACAGCAUGAGGAAGAAGGAGAGACUGCGAAGAGCCAGCAGGAAUCAAAGGAGGUAGUGCCUCCUGUCAUUAAGCUAAAGAAUUUCUCACUGAAUCAUCUGAAGCAUAACAUUGAUGAGACACAGUUAACCUGUAUUCUUGUCUGCUGCGGAGUGGAGGAAUAAAAGCUUUCUGGAUCUGCAUAGAC